Molecule: long non-coding RNA, 293 nt
Filed under: Manihot esculenta (cassava)
Lineage: Eukaryota; Viridiplantae; Streptophyta; Magnoliopsida; Malpighiales; Euphorbiaceae
Description: long non-coding RNA (MESC_LNC012128)
Source: RNAcentral
GAAUCUAUCAGUGUAUUCAUCUACACUCAUCUCCUCCGUCUGCCUUAGCUGUUCAAACUCAAUCAUCUUCAGUUCCCUAGAGUUAUCAGGGAAAGCCCAUCCUGCAAAUUCAUUUGCAAAUUCCUCCCAGGAUAGACUAUCCACCCUCGGGUCCACAUAGCUCUUGAACCAAUCCUUGGCCUUCUUGCAUUUGAGUGUGAAUCCCGCCAUUUGAAUGGCCCUACUAUCACUUGUUCCCAACUCGUCGGUUAUCAUUUUUACCGUUUUGAGGUACUCAAACGGAUCAUCCCCCG